UGUAAAGGUGCUCCUGGUGACUGGCUUUC
RNAcentral lists this non-coding RNA (29 nucleotides) under Rattus norvegicus (Norway rat). The record is from RNAcentral. Lineage: Eukaryota; Metazoa; Chordata; Mammalia; Rodentia; Muridae.